UCCAGCUAUUUGGCCCAACCCAUAUUAGAUUGUGUUAUAAAGACAUGGUAAAUUACAUCACGAAGGGAAGAGCAGAGGAAACAUAAUAUUCCUUCAAGACCCAUCAGCUCAGAUGUUAGCAGAACACCCCUAAGGAGGAAAACAAGAAAUUUUGGGUUUGAACUUGGUACUUCCCAGCAGCCCUGGGAGUGGGGUCAGAAGCCCUGCUGGGGGCCAAAGAACUCUGAGGAUCAAAGAUGUUGAGCAUCACCUUAGAGGCCAAAGAUCAGAACAGUGGAGGUGGCCUUUGAAGCCCAACCUGUCUUUCACCAGAGAGUGAGAACGGCCUCUAUUUCCAGGAAGCUCACUGCAGCAAUAAUCAUGAUGCUCUGAGCCUGACAAGGUGAGAAUUUACUUUCAGCACCUGCAAUAGUUUCCUAUUAAAGUUACAUAUGAAACCCUGCCGUCUUGUACCAACUAAUGUUCACACCAGCGUUCCUAUUUUCAAGAUAAAUUGCAAAAUAAAAACUCUUGUUUUCGUUAGCAAAAGAAAACUUCUUUAGGAGGAUAAAAGGGAGAUGAAGAAACAGAAAACACAUCAGCUCUCCAUCCAGAUUACAGAAAGCAGAAAACAUCCUGAAGUGAAUAACAUAGGAAUCGCUCUUUUUCCCCCCUGAGAUAGCAGGUUACUUAUGAGAAACAAGCUUGAAAUCUCUGCACCUGGACCAGCUUCCAGAGGCUUUUGUCCUGACCAGCUGGCUUUGGGGAAGUAAAGGAAACCAGAGAAGAAGAGGCUGAAAGAAUUGGUUUCCACCGUGACCUUUGAACCCUCGGGCGAGUUGUCAGCCUCACUGAGGAUGAGUGUACUCCAUAUCAAGUGAGGUCACUUUACUCGCAAGCUUGUUGUGAGGACUGAAUGAAACCUUUUCUUUUUUCUUGGAGUUUCAGAGCAACGUCCCUGAGCCCAGCCCCACACUGGCUUGAGCCCUGUCGUCGGUCAAGACACGGUGCUUUCUCCCCUCCCCUCUGCACUCCAGCUUACUCUGCAGUCAGGAGGUGGCACCACGAUCCCCUUUAAGACUUUGCCACUUGGGCCAGCUGCGCCCCUGUGAAAUUCCCUGUUUCUAUUGCAGGCCACAAGGACGAGCUGAGAAAUGGCUUCCAGUCACCAUCUAGAUUAGAAAGCCUAUAUUUCAAAUAUAGAUAUAUCAAUUAUGCCUGUAAAAAGACAUUAAAUCCCACAGGGCUGUAAUUCCUAGACUCUACGAAUUUCAUCUUGCACCAAAUUUUAUUAUUUCAUUUAUAAUUCGGAUUCUUCAAAUCUAAGAGUGCCUGGCUCAAAAUUAAAAUACCUACAACUAUGCCAAAACUGGACUCUUUAAUUGCCUUACUGGAACCAGUAGCUGAUUCAAAGCAAAACGAAACAAAAUUCCUCCUUUCUCUGAUUUAGUGAAUCAAUGAUCUAACUGAACUCAUUUUUGGACUGAGUUUGCGGCACUUGCAGCCCUGAGGGACACAUUCCCCCACCACACUGAGCCUGCACUCCCAUCAAUGCAAAUGAACAUUUUGCUUAUUCAGAUUGGGGGGGUGAAGGAAG
Molecule: long non-coding RNA, 1576 nt
Filed under: Homo sapiens (human)
Lineage: Eukaryota; Metazoa; Chordata; Mammalia; Primates; Hominidae
Description: non-protein coding LINC01304:18
Source: RNAcentral